GGCGAACGGGUGCGUAAUGCAUGGGAAUCUGCCUAGUAGUGGGGAAUAACCCGGCGAAAGCCGGGCUAAUGCCGCAUACGACCUACGGGUGAAAGCGGGGGAUCGCAAGACCUCGCGCUAUUAGAUGAGCCCAUGUCGGAUUAGCUAGUUGGUAGGGUAACGGCCUACCAAGGCGACGAUCCGUAGCUGGUCUGAGAGGACGGCCAGCCACACUGGGACUGAGACACGGCCCAGACUCCUAC
RNAcentral lists this ribosomal RNA (242 nucleotides) under uncultured beta proteobacterium. Its description in RNAcentral is "partial 16S ribosomal RNA". It matches the Rfam family "Bacterial small subunit ribosomal RNA", at positions 97 to 342 of the family's 1533-position model. Lineage: Bacteria; Pseudomonadati; Pseudomonadota; Betaproteobacteria. The record is from RNAcentral.